UACGGAGGGUGCAAGCGUUAUCCGGAUUUAUUGGGUUUAAAGGGUCCGUAGGCGGACUUAUAAGUCAGUGGUGAAAGCCUGUCGCUUAACGAUAGAACUGCCAUUGAUACUGUAAGUCUUGAGUAUAUUUGAGGUAGCUGGAAUAAGUAGUGUAGCGGUGAAGUGCAUAGAUAUUACUUAGAACACCAAUUGCGAAGGCAGGUUACCAAGAUAUAACUGACGCUGAGGGACGAAAGCGUGGGGAGCGAACAGG
This 253-nucleotide ribosomal RNA is filed under the name uncultured Cloacibacterium sp. RNAcentral describes it as "partial 16S ribosomal RNA". It matches the Rfam family "Bacterial small subunit ribosomal RNA", at positions 524 to 776 of the family's 1533-position model. The record is from RNAcentral. Lineage: Bacteria; Pseudomonadati; Bacteroidota; Flavobacteriia; Flavobacteriales; Weeksellaceae.